RNAcentral lists this ribozyme (76 nucleotides) under Crocodylus porosus (Australian saltwater crocodile). RNAcentral describes it as "Mammalian CPEB3 ribozyme (ENSCPRG00005013014.1)". It matches the Rfam family "Mammalian CPEB3 ribozyme". Rfam says of the family: The mammalian CPEB3 ribozyme is a self cleaving RNA located in the second intron of the CPEB3 gene which belongs to a family of genes regulating messenger RNA polyadenylation. This ribozyme is highly conserved and found only in mammals. Lineage: Eukaryota; Metazoa; Chordata; Crocodylia; Crocodylidae. The record is from Rfam by way of RNAcentral.
AUUGCAAACUUGAGGCCAUAGCAGAAUCACUUGUGGCGUGGCCCUGUCAGAUUCCAUUGAAUCUGUGAAUUCUGCU